ACUCCUACGGGAGGCAGCAGUGGGGAAUUUUCCGCAAUGGGCGAAAGCCUGACGGAGCAACGCCGCGUGAGGGAUGAAGGCCUCUGGGCUGUAAACCUCUUUUCUCAAGGAAGAAGACAUGACGGUACUUGAGGAAUAAGCCACGGCUAAUUCCGUGCCAGCAGCCGCGGUAAU
This 174-nucleotide ribosomal RNA is filed under the name uncultured soil bacterium. RNAcentral's name for it is "partial 16S ribosomal RNA". It matches the Rfam family "Bacterial small subunit ribosomal RNA", at positions 335 to 524 of the family's 1533-position model. The record is from RNAcentral.